Long non-coding RNA from Brassica napus (rape), 896 nucleotides. RefSeq lists it as uncharacterized. The record is from RefSeq and is a predicted model, not a curated record. The transcript has 3 exons. NCBI's taxonomy places the organism in Eukaryota, Viridiplantae, Streptophyta, Magnoliopsida, Brassicales, Brassicaceae.
GUACAUGAAUAGAAUAAUGGAACAGACGGUAGAAAAACACUUGCUUAGACCAUGAUUAUCCGGAGCUCUUAAGAGCGUUUCUUAGUUUAAUAAGAAUAAAAAAAAUGAAAAAUGGCAAUAAACAUAAGCUACGGCUCUUAAUUAAGGAACAUAAGCGACGUCUUUUGUGAGUUCUAUCUUCUCCCUUUUUCGAUUUCUCGAGCUUCAGAUUAACAAACAUGGCCACCACUGGAAACAAGAAUAUCAACGCCAAACUGAUAACAUUUUCAACACAAUUGCUAAGCUGGGAUUUACUGAGCCAACACCAAUACAAGCUCAGGGAUGGCCAAUGGCUUUAAAGGGUAGGGAUUUAAUUUGGCUAUUUCUCCACCUUCUCCGACUACAAGCAAUGUGUCAUCUCCUUCUCCUUGUGAUGUUAAAGUAGGUGAAGAACCUGUUUCUUUGACUAAGAGAAGAUUCAGGUCUAAGAAUAUUGAACCUAUACCUUUUUGGAAAAUGCAGGUGGUUCCUUUCAAUGGAAAAUUGGUUAAGGCCAAGAAGAGGUGCCAUUGGUGUGGAACCAGAGGAUGUGAGGAUUUGGUUAGCUGUUUGAGUUGUGGAAGAGAGUUCUUUUGUGUAGAUUGUAUCGAUAAAAGGUAUCUUGAGUUAUUAUGUUUGCUCUCGUGCUUAUCUUGUUUACAGAGAGCACUGAUCUUUCUCAUUAGAGUUUAGAAUCAUCAUCUAGAUUAGUAGUUCCAUCAUAGCAUAGUUAUAAUAAGAAGUAAUCCCAGUAGAUUCAAUUAGUUUUAUGGAGCUAGGAUGUAGAGACGAUUAAUCAUUCACCUAUGGUAAAAUGUUAGGAUACUCUUUCCUGCAAUUCUCAGCUGCAGUAACUUCAUUUGGGAUUGUUUCUGCAA